This 279-nucleotide ribosomal RNA is filed under the name uncultured bacterium. Its description in RNAcentral is "partial 16S ribosomal RNA". It matches the Rfam family "Bacterial small subunit ribosomal RNA", at positions 506 to 784 of the family's 1533-position model. The record is from RNAcentral.
UGCCAGCCGCCGCGGUAAUACGAAGGGUGCUAGCGUUGUUCGGAAUUACUGGGCGUAAAGAGCAUGUAGGCGGAUUUGUAGGUAUCUUGUGAAAUCCCACGGCUCAACCGUGGAACUGCAGGGUAAACCACAAAUCUUGAGACAAGUAGGGGUUAGUGGAACGAUAUGUGGAGCGGUGAAAUGCGUAGAUAUAUAUCGGAACGCCAAUGGCGAAGGCAGCUAACUGGGCUUGUUCUGACGCUCAGGUACGAAAGCGUGGGUAGCGAACGGGAUUAGAUA